AUACGUAGGGUGCGAGCGUUAAUCGGAAUUACUGGGCGUAAAGCGUGCGCAGGCGGUUAUGUAAGACAGAUGUGAAAUCCCCGGGCUCAACCUGGGAACUGCAUUUGUGACUGCAUGGCUAGAGUACGGUAGAGGGGGAUGGAAUUCCGCGUGUAGCAGUGAAAUGCGUGGAUAUGCGGAGGAACACCGAUGGCGAAGGCAAUCCCCUGGACCUGUACUGACGCUCAUGCACGAAAGCGUGGGGAGCAAACAGGAUUAGAAACCCCAGUAGUCC
RNAcentral lists this ribosomal RNA (274 nucleotides) under uncultured bacterium. RNAcentral's name for it is "partial 16S ribosomal RNA". It matches the Rfam family "Bacterial small subunit ribosomal RNA", at positions 523 to 796 of the family's 1533-position model. The record is from RNAcentral.